AGAGUUUGAUCCUGGCUCAGGAUGAACGCUGGCGGCGUGCCUAACACAUGCAAGUCGAACGGGGCGCGCAGGCUGAGGCUUUUCGGAGCGGAAGCCUGCGCUGCCCAGUGGCGGACGGGUGAGUAACGCGUGGGCAACCUGCCCUGCACUGGGGGACAACAGCCGGAAACGGCUGCUAAUACCGCAUAUGCCCGCAGCCCCGCAUGGGGCGGCGGGGGAAGCUCCGGCGGUGCAGGAUGGGCCCGCGUCUGAUUAGCUGGUUGGCGGGGCAACGGCCCACCAAGGCGACGAUCAGUAGCCGGCCUGAGAGGGUGGGCGGCCACAUUGGGACUGAGACACGGCCCAGACUCCUACGGGAGGCAGCAGUGGGGGAUAUUGCACAAUGGGGGGAACCCUGAUGCAGCGACGCCGCGUGGGCGAUGGAGUACUUCGGUAUGUAAAGCCCUAUCAGCAGGGAAGAAAAUGACGGUACCUGACUAAGAAGCCCCGGCUAAAUACGUGCCAGCAGCCGCGGUAAUACGUAUGGGGCAAGCGUUAUCCGGAUUUACUGGGUGUAAAGGGAGCGUAGGCGGCCUGGCAAGCCUGAUGUGAAAUACCGGGGCCCAACCCCGGGGCUGCAUUGGGAACUGCCAGGCUGGAGUGCCGGAGAGGCAGGCGGAAUUCCUAGUGUAGCGGUGAAAUGCGUAGAUAUUAGGAGGAACACCAGUGGCGAAGGCGGCCUGCUGGACGGUGACUGACGCUGAGGCUCGAAAGCAUGGGUAGCGAACAGGAUUAGAUACCCUGGCAGUCCAUGCCGUAAACGAUGAGUGCUAGGUGUUGGAGGGUUUCCGCCCUUCAGUGCCGGAGCUAACGCAUUAAGCACUCCGCCUGGGGAGUACGACCGCAAGGUUGAAACUCAAAGGAAUUGACGGGGGCCCGCACAAGCGGUGGAGCAUGUGGUUUAAUUCGAAGCUACGCGAAGAACCUUACCAGGUCUUGACAUCUUGCGCUAACCUUAGAGAUAAGGCGUUCCCUUCGGGGACGCAAUGACAGGUGGUGCAUGGUCGUCGUCAGCUCGUGUCGUGAGAUGUUGGGUUAAGUCCCGCAACGAGCGCAACCCUUGUUACUAGUUGCCAGCAUUAAGUUGGGCACUCUAGUGAGACUGCCGGUGACAAACCGGAGGAAGGUGGGGACAACGUCAGAUCAUCAUGCCCCUUAUGACCUGGGCUACACACGUGCUACAAUGGACGGUACAACGAGUCGCAAGCUCGCGAGAGUAAGCUAAUCUCUUAAAGCCGUUCUCAGUUCGGACUGUAGGCUGCAACUCGCCUACACGAAGUCGGAAUCGCUAGUAAUCGCGGAUCAGCAUGCCGCGGUGAAUACGUUCCCGGGCCUUGCACUAAAGGCCCGUCA
This 1392-nucleotide ribosomal RNA is filed under the name uncultured bacterium. Its description in RNAcentral is "partial 16S ribosomal RNA". It matches the Rfam family "Bacterial small subunit ribosomal RNA". The record is from RNAcentral.